This 233-nucleotide ribosomal RNA is filed under the name uncultured bacterium. RNAcentral's name for it is "partial 16S ribosomal RNA". It matches the Rfam family "Bacterial small subunit ribosomal RNA", at positions 15 to 236 of the family's 1533-position model. The record is from RNAcentral.
GAUCAUGGCUCAGGAUGAACGCUAGCUACAGGCUUAACACAUGCAAGUCGAGGGGAAACGACAUCGAAAGCUUGCUUUUGAUGGGCGUCGACCGGCGCACGGGUGAGUAACGCGUAUCCAACCUGCCCACCACUUGGGGAUAACCUUGCGAAAGUAAGACUAAUACCCAAUGAUAUCUCUAGAAGACAUCUGAAAGAGAUUAAAGAUUUAUCGGUGAUGGAUGGGGAGUGCGU